CCUUUACUAUAGCUUGACACUGAACAUUGAGCCUUGAUGUGUAGGAUAGGUGGGAGGCUUUGAAGCGUGGACGCCAGUCUGCGUGGAGCCGACCUUGAAAUACCACCCUUUAAUGUUUGAUGUUCUAACGUGGACCCGUUACCCGGGUUGCGGACAGUGUCUGGUGGGUAGUUUGACUGGGGCGGUCUCCUCCUAAAGAGUAACGGAGGAGCACGAAGGUUGGCUAAUCCUGGUCGGACAUCAGGAGGUUAGUGCAAUGGCAUAAGCCAGCUUGACUGCGAGCGUGACGGCGCGAGCAGGUGCGAAAGCAGGUCAUAGUGAUCCGGUGGUUCUGAAUGGAAGGGCCAUCGCUCAACGGAUAAAAGGUACUCCGGGGAUAACAGGCUGAUACCGCCCAAGAGUUCAUAUCGACGGCGGUGUUUGGCACCUCGAUGUCGGCUCAUCACAUCCUGGGGCUGAAGUAGGUCCCAAGGGUAUGGCUGUUCGCCAUUUAAAGUGGUACGCGAGCUGGGUUUAGAACGUCGUGAGACAGUUCGGUCCCUAUCUGCCGUGGGCGCUGGAGAACUGAGGGGGGCUGCUCCUAGUACGAGAGGACCGGAGUGGACGCAUCACUGGUGUUCGGGUUGUCAUGCCAAUGGCACUGCCCGGUAGCUAAAUGCGGAAGAGAUAAGUGCUGAAAGCAUCUAAGCACGAAACUUGCCCCGAGAUGAGUUCUCCCUGAGA
This 723-nucleotide ribosomal RNA is filed under the name Salmonella enterica. RNAcentral describes it as "partial 23S ribosomal RNA". It matches the Rfam family "Bacterial large subunit ribosomal RNA", at positions 2098 to 2820 of the family's 2925-position model. The record is from RNAcentral. Lineage: Bacteria; Pseudomonadati; Pseudomonadota; Gammaproteobacteria; Enterobacterales; Enterobacteriaceae.